GUGAUGUUCUGUCAGAGGGCAGAGAGGAGACUGAUGACUCCGCCUUCGACAUAGUGUCCCCUCUACCUCCAGAGGAAGUUGAGGUUGAACAGCCACCAGUUCAGAAGGCCGCAUCACCCAAACUGGAGCAGAGGCUUUCGUCUUGGUCUCGUAGAAGCAUGCCUUCCCCAG
Salvelinus namaycush (lake trout) is the source of this 171-nucleotide long non-coding RNA. RefSeq lists it as uncharacterized. The transcript has 3 exons. NCBI's taxonomy places the organism in Eukaryota, Metazoa, Chordata, Actinopteri, Salmoniformes, Salmonidae. The record is from RefSeq and is a predicted model, not a curated record.